Molecule: ribosomal RNA, 253 nt
Filed under: uncultured bacterium
Lineage: Bacteria
Description: partial 16S ribosomal RNA
Rfam family: Bacterial small subunit ribosomal RNA
Source: RNAcentral
UACAGAGGUGGCAAGCGUUGUUCGGAAUUAUUGGGCGUAAAGAGCUCGUAGGCGGUUUGUCGCGUCUGCUGUGAAAACCUAAGGCUCAACCUUGGGCUUGCAGUGGGUACGGGCAGACUAGAGUGCGGUAGGGGUGACUGGAAUUCCUGGUGUAGCGGUGGAAUGCGCAGAUAUCAGGAGGAACACCGAUGGCGAAGGCAGGUCACUGGGCCGCAACUGACGCUGAGGAGCGAAAGCAUGGGGAGCGAACAGG